Molecule: ribosomal RNA, 694 nt
Filed under: Metabacillus idriensis
Lineage: Bacteria; Bacillati; Bacillota; Bacilli; Caryophanales; Bacillaceae
Description: bacterial SSU rRNA
Rfam family: Bacterial small subunit ribosomal RNA
Source: RNAcentral
CGCAUGGUUCAAGUUGGAAAGACGGUUUCGGCUGUCACUUACAGAUGGGCCCGCGGCGCAUUAGCUAGUUGGUGAGGUAAUGGCUCACCAAGGCAACGAUGCGUAGCCGACCUGAGAGGGUGAUCGGCCACACUGGGACUGAGACACGGCCCAGACUCCUACGGGAGGCAGCAGUAGGGAAUCUUCCGCAAUGGACGAAAGUCUGACGGAGCAACGCCGCGUGAGUGAUGAAGGUUUUCGGAUCGUAAAACUCUGUUGUUAGGGAAGAACAAGUGCGAGAGUAACUGCUCGCACCUUGACGGUACCUAACCAGAAAGCCACGGCUAACUACGUGCCAGCAGCCGCGGUAAUACGUAGGUGGCAAGCGUUGUCCGGAAUUAUUGGGCGUAAAGCGCGCGCAGGCGGUUUCUUAAGUCUGAUGUGAAAGCCCCCGGCUCAACCGGGGAGGGUCAUUGGAAACUGGGAAACUUGAGUGCAGAAGAGGAGAGUGGAAUUCCACGUGUAGCGGUGAAAUGCGUAGAGAUGUGGAGGAACACCAGUGGCGAAGGCGACUCUCUGGUCUGUAACUGACGCUGAGGCGCGAAAGCGUGGGGAGCGAACAGGAUUAGAUACCCUGGUAGUCCACGCCGUAAACGAUGAGUGCUAAGUGUUAGAGGGUUUCCGCCCUUUAGUGCUGCAGCUAACGCAUUAAGCA